Molecule: ribosomal RNA, 468 nt
Filed under: uncultured bacterium
Lineage: Bacteria
Description: partial 16S ribosomal RNA
Rfam family: Bacterial small subunit ribosomal RNA
Source: RNAcentral
GACGAACGCUGGCGGCGUGCUUAACACAUGCAAGUCGAACGGAAAGGCCCUGCUCUUGUGGGGUGCUCGAGUGGCGAACGGGUGAGUAACACGUGAGUAACCUGCCCUUGUCUUUGGGAUAACUUCAGGAAACUGGGGCUAAUAUCGGAUAGGAUCUCCUGCAGCAUGGUGGGGGUUGGAAAGUUUCGGCGGUUGGGGAUGGACUCGCGGCUUAUCAGCUUGUUUGUCGGGUAGUGGCUUACCAAGGCUUUGACGGGUAGCCGGCCUGAGAGGGGGACCGGGCACAAGAGGACUGCGGUAGGGAGCAGAAGGGAAUGUGAGGCAACAGGGGAAAGUAUGACGGAGUAGGCCGGAGCGAGAGGCAGCGGCGUCGCGAGCGUGAUGACCGCUUUUGGGGGAAGAACAGCUGUCGACUGAGACGAAGAGGUAGUGACGGUACUGAGUAAAGAAGCACCGGCUAACUACGUG